This 457-nucleotide ribosomal RNA is filed under the name uncultured bacterium. RNAcentral's name for it is "bacterial SSU rRNA". It matches the Rfam family "Bacterial small subunit ribosomal RNA", at positions 328 to 793 of the family's 1533-position model. The record is from RNAcentral.
UCAGUCGACUCCUACGGGGAGGCAGCAGUGGGGAAUAUUGCGCAAUGGGCGAAAGCCUGACGCAGCAACGCCGCGUGCGGGAUGACGGCCUUCGGGUUGUAAACCGCUUUCAGCAGGGAAGAAGCCGCAAGGUGACGGUACCUGCAGAAGAAGCACCGGCUAACUACGUGCCAGCAGCCGCGGUAAUACGUAGGGUGCAAGCGUUGUCCGGAUUUAUUGGGCGUAAAGAGCUCGUAGGCGGUAUGUCGCGUCGGAUGUGAAAAUACCAAGGCUCAACCUUGGACCUGCAUCCGAUACGGGCACACUAGAGUGUGGUAGGGGAGACUGGAACUCCUGGUGUAGCGGUGAAAUGCGCAGAUAUCAGGAAGAACACCAAUGGCGAAGGCAGGUCUCUGGGCCAUUACUGACGCUGAGGAGCGAAAGCGUGGGGAGCAAACAGGAUUAGAUACCCUGGUAG